Molecule: ribosomal RNA, 233 nt
Filed under: Vibrio parahaemolyticus
Lineage: Bacteria; Pseudomonadati; Pseudomonadota; Gammaproteobacteria; Vibrionales; Vibrionaceae
Description: partial 23S ribosomal RNA
Rfam family: Bacterial large subunit ribosomal RNA
Source: RNAcentral
GCGAUGAAAGACGUAGUAACUUGCGAUAAGCCCAGAUUAGGUAGUAACAGCCAUUUGAGUCUGGGAUUUCUGAAUGGGGAAACCCACUUACAUAAGUAAGUAUCCUUACCUGAAUACAUAGGGUAAGGAGGCGAACCGGGGGAACUGAAACAUCUAAGUACCCCGAGGAAAAGAAAUCAACCGAGAUUCCGAAAGUAGCGGCGAGCGAAAUUGGACUAGCCCUUAAGCUUUAC